AGCGAACGCUGGCGGCAGGCUUAACACAUGCAAGUCGAGCGGGCACUUCGGUGUCAGCGGCAGACGGGAGAGUAACACGUGGGAACGUACCCUUUUGUUCGGUAUAACGCGGGGAAACUAGCGCUAAUACCGGAUACGCCCUUUUGGGGAAAGUCUUCCUGCCGAAGGAUCGGCCCGCGUCUGAUUAGCUAGUUGGUGGGGUAAUGGCCUACCAAGGCGACGAUCAGUAGCUGGUCUGAGAGGAUGAUCAGCCACACUGGGACUGAGACACGGCCCAGACUCCUACGGGAGGCAGCAGUGGGGAAUAUUGGACAAUGGGCGCAAGCCUGAUCCAGCCAUGCCGCGUGAGUGAUGAAGGCCUUAGGGUUGUAAAGCUCUUUUGUCCGGGACGAUAAUGACGGUACCGGAAGAAUAAGCCCCGGCUAACUUCGUG
RNAcentral lists this ribosomal RNA (433 nucleotides) under uncultured bacterium. RNAcentral's name for it is "partial 16S ribosomal RNA". It matches the Rfam family "Bacterial small subunit ribosomal RNA", at positions 29 to 507 of the family's 1533-position model. The record is from RNAcentral.